This 391-nucleotide ribosomal RNA is filed under the name uncultured bacterium. RNAcentral's name for it is "bacterial SSU rRNA". It matches the Rfam family "Bacterial small subunit ribosomal RNA", at positions 971 to 1422 of the family's 1533-position model. The record is from RNAcentral.
UUACCGGUUUGACAUAAAAGAGAUGGUAAGACAGGUGGUGCAUGGCUGUCGUCAGCUCGUGUCGUGAGAUGUUGGGUUAAGUCCCGCAACGAGCGCAACCCCGUUUAUGUUGCCAGCGUACGGGACUCAUAGAGACAGCCGGGGACAAUCGGAGGAAGGUGAGGACGACGUCAAGUCAUCAUGCCCCUUAUACCGGGCUGCACGCAUGCUACAAUGGGGUACACGGGGCACUGCGAAGUGAGCAAUCCCUAAACCGUCUCAGUUCGGAUUGAAGUCUGCAACUCGACUUCAUGAAGCCGGAGUCGCUAGUAAUCGUGAUCAGCAUGCGCGGUGAAUACGUUCUCGGGGCUUGUACACACCGCCCGUCACAUCACGAAAGUUGGAAGCCGUA